RNAcentral lists this long non-coding RNA (3450 nucleotides) under Triticum aestivum (bread wheat). Its description in RNAcentral is "long non-coding RNA (TAES_LNC012144)". Lineage: Eukaryota; Viridiplantae; Streptophyta; Magnoliopsida; Poales; Poaceae. The record is from RNAcentral.
GCCCACCGAAGCAGCAGGAGAAAGACCUUGAGGUGGUUCAGAUUUGCCUCUACAUCCUUUCUCUCUUUCCCUAGGUUUUGAUCUCCUGUACAUAUUUUGGCCACCUGAGUUCUAUCUGCUCUCUGUCAAUUUCAGUGAAGCUGCAUCAUCCAACAUAGCGAGAUGAAGUACUCAGAAAAAAUUGCAGCAAGUGCGAUUGAUAGUCAGGGAAUUGAUUUGAUUCUGAAUCUUCCGUUCUUCAGGUACUUAUUUCACACUCUCUCUGAUUGGUCAAUGUGCUAUGCAAAGUUGUUAUAUAUAAAUUUGCUUUUAUACAUGUCUGCAUCAUAAUUAAUGUUAUUCCCUUCUGAAUUAGCAAGAUUUAGACGAUAUAAACAGUAAUAGUAGUUGUCUUUUCAUUUGUUAGAAAACAUAGUGUACAGAAUCGUAGCUGUAUGCAAUGAUUCAUCAUGUAUUUUUUUUAAAUCGCAACCCGUAAUUGUUUGAUGUCGUUAAAUGUCUAUAUUGUUUUGUUUACAUUCUUAAGCUGGCCUCCAUACUAUCUGCAUUGUCCUGGUAGCCUUGGUAGGUUAUAAUACGCAGAUCGAUAAUCCCGGUUCAGUUUGAGCUUUCCAUGUAAUUUUUUACUCAAAUAUUACGAUCACGACUUAACUUAAAUUAGCAGUAUAGUGUCAAUGGGCAUCAACUGAAGCUAAUAAGAUGUUGUUUACUAAAGAACAGCCCCUUGCUACUUGCACAGUAUGUGGCAAAACACCCUAAAUAUUAAAGAAAUCAUACUUGACUGUGAUUACAUUUGGUUGACGCUUACAUGUAUUUCCCAUCAGUAGACCAAGUGGGUAAUCUUCUAUCUCAAGUCCAAGCUUUCAAUGCAUUUUUCUCUUUUUUUCAUGUCUCAGUGAUGAUCUGCAGGGCCGAAUUAUGCCACUGUUGAUGGUGCACAGGUCUGUUGCAUGGUAAACCCAGUAUUGGCCGUCCUUUCAAGCUCCUUUGUUCAUCCUAGAGAAAAAACUGGAAAAACUAUCUUUUAAUCUUUCUAUAGUGCAUUGCUAUGAUUACAUAUAUGGAUACAUCAUUUCGAUGUGUCUAGAGACCUAAAGCCUUUUAAGAGUUAACUGCCAAACUGGGGAGUGAUGUCAUAAUUGGAGAUGGGCUUCGUUCAGUUAUUCUUUUUGGGCCUAGAACGAUGAUGUUUGCAGAUGGGCUUUAUUCUGUCAUAAGAGCUUAUCGAUCCAGCAUGCAUAGUUUUGUUUCUUCAGUGUUCUGUGUCUGAGAAAAACAUAUGUUGUUUCCUAUUUGUUUAUGGUCGAGAUGGACGGAUUUUUGUUGUGUGGGCUGGAGGUGGAUUUCUGUUGUGUGGGCUGAAGGUUCUUGAGGUAGGGCACCAGCACCAGCUAAGCUUUCAUUCUGGUGAAAUGUAUGACAUGAUUGAUGAGCAUGCAUAUCUAUAUGGUUUUGUGGACACUGAUUUGGUUCCAUGCCAGUUUAUUUCCUGCAGUUGGUGUGUUUCUUUAUAGAGAUUUUUGUCACUAAAUUAAAUUAGAAACUGAGUGUGUACUGCUUUCACCUUCAGUUUAAACAUGACAUUAUCUUAUUUGUGAAUAGAUGGAAAUUAGCAAGCAAGCUACAGUUAGUGCAUGGAUGACCAAGUUUACUUAUUACUUUAUGAAGAUGAUUCUUAAAUGGAAUUAGGAGCUAGGUCCUGCAUGUUGAUUGUGCUUCAAGGUACAGUUGUCUGUACCUUAUAAAAUUAAAGCUUUUUAUUGGUUGUGCAUCCCAGGACAAAAAUCUUGAUUCAUAGAUAGCCAAAGAAUUGAUUACUCUCUGUCGUUGUAGGGAAGAGGAUGGGAGGAGGGGAUGCGUUGCUCCACAUUUUGUUAUGCACACCUUCAUAAACUAUACUCCCUCUGUAAACUAAUACUCCCUCCGUUUCUUUUUACUCCGCGUAUAAGUUUUGGUCAAAGUCAAACUACAUAAAGUUUGACCAAAUUUAUAUUAAAAAAUAUGAACAUCUACAAUACUUAAACUGUAUAAUAUGAAAAUACAUUUCAUGGUCUGUCUGAAACUGUUGGUUUCAUAUUGUGAAUGUUGAUAUUUUUUAAUAUAAAGUUAGUCAAACUAUGCAAAGAUUGACUUUGACCAAAUCUUAUAUGCAGACUAAAAAGAAACGGAGGGAGUAUAAGAGCAUUUAGAUCACUAAAGUAGUGAUCUAAACGCUCUUAUAUUAGUUUACAGAGGGAGUACUUCUCUUAACAUAUGUUCAUUAUCCAGCAGAAGCUGUAGAUUUCAGAGUACAAUAAUUUCCUGUUUAUACAUGGGAGCAGAGCGGAGGAGGUCGAUGCAGGGUCGAGGAGGGGCACGAGCGAGGGUCAUGCCGCACGGGGGCGCGAUGGGGUGGCCGGGGAGCGUGCAGCGUCUAGCAAGAGAAGGCAGAAACCUGAGAAAAUAAGAUUAGGGAAGUCACACAUGUUUAAAUCAAGGUAGCAUACAUGUAGCCUUACUUGCUAUUUUUGCAUCAUGGAUGCUGAAGUUCCUAGAGGUAAAGCAGAAACCUGAUGUAUAGCAGUGCAAAUGUGCUGUCUGAUAGGCUUUAAAAAUUUCUUAAAGACGAAUGGUUGGACUGAUUUUUUCAAAACAUAAUAAGCACUUGUUUUCUACAGUUGGUAGCAUAUAUAUAGCUUAAGGAGAUUUCAUGUAAUAUACAUCUAAGUUGAAACUUCGGGAUCAUCUUAUAGCCGUUCACUUCUCUCUUUUUUAUUUUGUCUCAUUCCUUCAUUUAAGCAUAAGUUCAGUUUCAUUUGCUCAAGUUAGCUGCCAGUUGAACUUAUAGUUUCUUGCCUUAUAGUGUUUAUUGCAUAAUCCUUUUUUUUCUUCUCUUUUGAAAGCAAGGACCAGGCCACGAACAUAUGUUUAUAAUGCAGUUCUUUCACUGCGUACUGCAUAGUAUCUUAGCUAGGUCUCUCUGGGCAAGUGUAGUUUGCCUGCAGGUAUGACAUGUGUUUGAAUAUAAUCCUUUUCUUGCUUCUCUUUUCAAAGCAAGGACCAGGCUGGCAGGCUGGGAACAUAUUAUAAUGAAAUUCUUUCAUUGUAGACUGCAUAGUAUCUUAGCUAGGUCUCUCCAGCAUGCUACCAAAAAAGGAAUGCUAUUGCUUAUGUUCUCUGAUCAACUGUACCUUGAAUCCUCAAUUUUGUAAUUCUCUAAAGAAUCAUCCAGCACAAACUCUGUUCUUUGAAGAAUUGUACCUGGAUAUUCUGAAGCUUGUGCACUGAUAUUUGUUGUUCAUUUUGCGCUGGAGCUGUGCAACUCUCCUUUAGUUUUUUGAGGUGUCAACAAACUGAAAAUAGUUGCUUCUCACUUCGGAUCGUGUCAUGACUCGUGAGCUCAGAGACAUUAAGCACUGUUAGUUAGAUGUUCCAGUUUAUGUGUAGAGGAAGCUACACGGUGGCUCACGA